This 327-nucleotide ribosomal RNA is filed under the name uncultured Acidobacteriota bacterium. Its description in RNAcentral is "bacterial SSU rRNA". It matches the Rfam family "Bacterial small subunit ribosomal RNA", at positions 32 to 351 of the family's 1533-position model. The record is from RNAcentral. Lineage: Bacteria; Pseudomonadati; Acidobacteriota.
AAUCAACGCUGGCGGCGUGCCUAACACAUGCAAGUCGAACGAGAAAGUGGGAGCAAUCCCGCGAGUACAGUGGCAGACGGGUGAGUAACACGUGAACAACCUACCCUCGAGUGGGGAAUAACACCGCGAAAGCGGUGCUAAUACCGCAUAACAUCCUUGGAACGCAUGUUCCGGGGAUCAAAGGCGAAAGUCGCUUGGGGAGGGAUUCGCGCCUGAUUAGCUAGUUGGUGAGGUAACGGCCCACCAAGGCGACGAUCAGUAGCCGGCCUGAGAGGGCGAACGGCCACACUGGAACUGAGACACGGUCCAGACUCCUACGGGAGGCAG